CGGCAGACGGGUGAGUAACGCGUGGGUAACCUGCCUCAUACAGGGGGAUAACAGUUAGAAAUGACUGCUAAUACCGCAUAAGACCACAGGGCCGCAUGGCCCGGUGGUAAAAACUCCGGUGGUAUGAGAUGGACCCGCGUCUGAUUAGCUGGUUGGUGGGGUAACGGCCUACCAAGGCGACGAUCAGUAGCCGACCUGAGAGGGUGACCGGCCACAUUGGGACUGAGACACGGCCCAAACUCCUACGGGAGGCAGCAG
RNAcentral lists this ribosomal RNA (258 nucleotides) under uncultured bacterium. Its description in RNAcentral is "partial 16S ribosomal RNA". It matches the Rfam family "Bacterial small subunit ribosomal RNA", at positions 96 to 354 of the family's 1533-position model. The record is from RNAcentral.